RNAcentral lists this ribosomal RNA (251 nucleotides) under uncultured bacterium. Its description in RNAcentral is "partial 16S ribosomal RNA". It matches the Rfam family "Bacterial small subunit ribosomal RNA", at positions 15 to 249 of the family's 1533-position model. The record is from RNAcentral.
GAUCCUGGCUCAGGACGAACGCUGGCGGCGUGCUUAACACAUGCAAGUCGAACGGGAUUUAGUAAACAGAAGCCUCGGUGGAAGAUUACUAAUGAGAGUGGCGAACGGGUGAGUAACGCGUGAGCAACCUGCCUAUGACAGUGGGAUAGCCUCGGGAAACCGGGAUUAAUACCGCAUAAAAUCGUAGAAACACAUGUUUUAACGGUCAAAGAUUUAUCGGUCAUAGAUGGGCUCGCGUCUGAUUAGCUAGG